This 253-nucleotide ribosomal RNA is filed under the name uncultured bacterium. RNAcentral's name for it is "partial 16S ribosomal RNA". It matches the Rfam family "Bacterial small subunit ribosomal RNA", at positions 524 to 776 of the family's 1533-position model. RNAcentral also lists the same sequence under 1 other name. The record is from RNAcentral.
UACGGAGGGGGCUAGCGUUGUUCGGAAUUACUGGGCGUAAAGCGUACGUAGGCGGCUUUGUAAGUUAGAGGUGAAAGCCCGGGGCUCAACCCCGGAAUUGCCUUUAAGACUGCAUCGCUUGAAUCGCGGAGAGGUGAGUGGAAUUCCGAGUGUAGAGGUGAAAUUCGUAGAUAUUCGGAAGAACACCAGUGGCGAAGGCGGCUCACUGGACGCGUAUUGACGCUGAGGUACGAAAGCGUGGGGAGCAAACAGG